GAUGAACGCUGGUUGCUUGCCUAAUACAUGCAAGUCGAGCGAACGGACGAGAAGCUUGCUUCUCUGAUGUUAGCGGCGGACGGGUGAGUAACACGUGGAUAACCUACCUAUAAGACUGGGAUAACUUCGGGAAACCGGAGCUAAUACCGGAUAAUAUUUUGAACCGCAUGGUUCAAAAGUGAAAGACGGUCUUGCUGUCACUUAUAGAUGGAUCCGCGCUGCAUUAGCUAGUUGGUAAGGUAACGGCUUACCAAGGCAACGAUGCAUAGCCGACCUGAGAGGGUGAUCGGCCACACUGGAACUGAGACACGGUCCAGACUCCUACGGGAGGCAGCAGUAGGGAAUCUUCCGCAAUGGGCGAAAGCCUGACGGAGCAACGCCGCGUGAGUGAUGAAGGUCUUCGGAUCGUAAAACUCUGUUAUUAGGGAAGAACAUAUGUGUAAGUAACUGUGCACAUCUUGACGGUACCUAAUCAGAAAGCCACGGCUAACUACGUGCCAGCAGCCGCGGUAAUACGUAGGUGGCAAGCGUUAUCCGGAAUUAUUGGGCGUAAAGCGCGCGUAGGCGGUUUUUUAAGUCUGAUGUGAAAGCCCACGGCUCAACCGUGGAGGGUCAUUGGAAACUGGAAAACUUGAGUGCAGAAGAGGAAAGUGGAAUUCCAUGUGUAGCGGUGAAAUGCGCAGAGAUAUGGAGGAACACCAGUGGCGAAGGCGACUUUCUGGUCUGUAACUGACGCUGAUGUGCGAAAGCGUGGGGAUCAAACAGGAUUAGAUACCCUGGUAGUCCACGCCGUAAACGAUGAGUGCUAAGUGUUAGGGGGUUUCCGCCCCUUCGUGCUGCAGCUAACGCAUUAAGCACUCCGCCUGGGGAGUACGACCGCAAGGUUGAAACUCAAAGGAAUUGACGGGGACCCGCACAAGCGGUGGAGCAUGUGGUUUAAUUCGAAGCAACGCGAAGAACCUUACCAAAUCUUGACAUCCUUUGACAACUCUAGAGAUAGAGCCUUCCCCUUCGGGGGACAAAGUGACAGGUGGUGCAUGGUUGUCGUCAGCUCGUGUCGUGAGAUGUUGGGUUAAGUCCCGCAACGAGCGCAACCCUUAAGCUUAGUUGCCAUCAUUAAGUUGGGCACUCUAAGUUGACUGCCGGUGACAAACCGGAGGAAGGUGGGGAUGACGUCAAAUCAUCAUGCCCCUUAUGAUUUGGGCUACACACGUGCUACAAUGGACAAUACAAAGGGCAGCGAAACCGCGAGGUCAAGCAAAUCCCAUAAAGUUGUUCUCAGUUCGGAUUGUAGUCUGCAACUCGACUAAAUGAAGCUGGAAUCGCUAGUAAUCGUAGAUCAGCAUGCUACGGUGAAUACGUUCCCGGGUCU
RNAcentral lists this ribosomal RNA (1372 nucleotides) under uncultured bacterium. Its description in RNAcentral is "bacterial SSU rRNA". It matches the Rfam family "Bacterial small subunit ribosomal RNA", at positions 28 to 1381 of the family's 1533-position model. The record is from RNAcentral.